UGAAAUUAUCGUUAAUUAGGUCUAUUUCUAUUUCUAUUUCUUAAUGCCACAGGUGCGCCAUGGGACGAUAGAGCGAAGGACAAAUCCAGCGCAGACUCGAACGGGAUUCGUUCAUGACCCAGCUGAGGUUGGCCGAGUGUUGUAUCUAAAUCUCUGGAGCGGCAGGAUUUGGAUGAAUGCAGAAUGUGUCACAGCUCGGGGUGGACGUCUCUGGACACCUCACAAUUUAAUUUCAUUGCAAUUCAGAGGGCUAGAGUGUGAUUGGAAAACAAUUAUCAAUGCAUCUUGACGAUCACACUUGCUCCUUUUCAUCAGCAUAUUCCUAAUAACUCAUAAUUAAACAAAAAUGAAACACAUGCUAACAUCCAUUUUAAUUUACCAUUCAACUGGUUCAGCUGUAAGGAAUAGCCCGGUCUUACAAAAUUGUUACAGGUAAUGCUGAAAUAAGAUGGCGGUGCUGUAUAGACACCCUGGUUUCCUAAUCAUAUACUCCAGACAGAACAUGUUUGUGUGGUUCAGACCCCAGGAGACAGAGAACAUGAGGUGCAAAAAUGACCAUUUGCACUUAUAUCAGGUUGUAAUUACAAUAUCCUUCACAAUCAGCAGACUAAUAAGAACCAACAUGUCCCUCUAUUUUUCAGGUUUAAGCAUUAUCAAUUCCUCACAUCUUGUGAUUGGCUCUGUCUAAUUAAUAUUUUAUGCAUAUUCACAGUAAAUGUAUUUAAGACUGUGGGGGAAGGGGACAGAUGGGGAGAUGGAGUCACAGAUUGAAUUUGGUAGGAGUUGGCCACGGUUUAAGAAUAAAUGUUUAAUAAACACUAACAGCGAGA
Long non-coding RNA from Acanthopagrus latus (yellowfin seabream), 830 nucleotides. RefSeq lists it as uncharacterized. NCBI's taxonomy places the organism in Eukaryota, Metazoa, Chordata, Actinopteri, Spariformes, Sparidae. The transcript is spliced from 2 exons. The record is from RefSeq and is a predicted model, not a curated record.